UUAACCCCACACUCUUGUAGCUCAACCCCAAAGC
This 34-nucleotide transfer RNA is filed under the name Crocodylus moreletii (Morelet's crocodile). RNAcentral describes it as "partial tRNA-Thr". The record is from RNAcentral. Lineage: Eukaryota; Metazoa; Chordata; Crocodylia; Crocodylidae.